This 254-nucleotide ribosomal RNA is filed under the name uncultured bacterium. RNAcentral's name for it is "partial 16S ribosomal RNA". It matches the Rfam family "Bacterial small subunit ribosomal RNA", at positions 524 to 776 of the family's 1533-position model. The record is from RNAcentral.
GACAGAGGUGCCGAGCGUUAGGCGGAAUCACUGGGCUUAAAGCGCGUGUAGGCGGGCCGGCGCGGCGGUCGCUGAAAGCCCCCGGCUCAACCGGGGAAGCGGCGCCGAUACGGCCGGCCUGGAGGGGGGUAGGGGGACCUGGAACUUCCGGUGGAGCGGUGAAAUGCGUUGAGAUCGGAAGGAACGCCCGUGGCGAAAGCGAGGUCCUGGACCCUUUCUGACGCUGAGACGCGAAAGCCAGGGGAGCGAACGGG